RNAcentral lists this ribosomal RNA (253 nucleotides) under uncultured bacterium. RNAcentral's name for it is "partial 16S ribosomal RNA". It matches the Rfam family "Bacterial small subunit ribosomal RNA", at positions 524 to 776 of the family's 1533-position model. The record is from RNAcentral.
UACGAAGGGUGCAAGCGUUGUUCGGAAUCACUGGGCGUAAAGGGCGCGUAGGCGGGCCUGUAAGUCGACUGUGAAAUCCCUGGGCUUAACCCGGGACGUGCAUUCGAUACUGCAGAUCUUGAAUGCUUGAGAGGGAGGCGGAAUUCCAGGUGUAGAAGUGAAAUUCGUAGAUAUCGGGAGGAACACCAGUGGCGAAGGCGGCGACCUGGGCCAAUACUGACGCUGAGGUGCGAAAGCGUGGGGAGCAAACAGG